RNAcentral lists this ribosomal RNA (352 nucleotides) under Flavobacterium aquariorum. RNAcentral's name for it is "bacterial SSU rRNA". It matches the Rfam family "Bacterial small subunit ribosomal RNA", at positions 47 to 402 of the family's 1533-position model. The record is from RNAcentral. Lineage: Bacteria; Pseudomonadati; Bacteroidota; Flavobacteriia; Flavobacteriales; Flavobacteriaceae.
CUUAACACAUGCAAGUCGAGGGGUAUUGUUCUUCGGAAUGAGAGACCGGCGCACGGGUGCGUAACGCGUAUGCAAUCUACCUUUUACAGAGGGAUAGCCCAGAGAAAUUUGGAUUAAUACCUCAUAGCAUAGUAGCUCGGCAUCGAGCAACUAUUAAAGUCACAACGGUAAAAGAUGAGCAUGCGUCCCAUUAGCUAGUUGGUAAGGUAACGGCUUACCAAGGCUACGAUGGGUAGGGGUCCUGAGAGGGAGAUCCCCCACACUGGUACUGAGACACGGACCAGACUCCUACGGGAGGCAGCAGUGAGGAAUAUUGGACAAUGGGCGCAAGCCUGAUCCAGCCAUGCCGCGU